This 397-nucleotide ribosomal RNA is filed under the name uncultured Helotiales. RNAcentral describes it as "eukaryotic LSU rRNA". The stretch from base 26 to 184 matches the Rfam family "5.8S ribosomal RNA". The record is from RNAcentral. Lineage: Eukaryota; Fungi; Ascomycota; Leotiomycetes; Helotiales.
UCUGAGUACUAUAUAAUCAGUUAACUACUUUCAACAACGNAUCNCUUGGUUCUGAGCUAUCGAUGAAGAACGCAGCGAAUUGCGAUAAGUAGAUGUGAAUUGCAGUAAUUCAGUGAAUCAUCNAAUCUAUGAACGNUCGAUUGCGCCCGCCGGUAUUCCGGCGGGCAUGCCUGUUCGAGCGUCAUUAUAACCAAUCAAGCUCUGCUUGGCUUUGCGGCCCGCUGUAUCGGCGGCCCUUAAAAUCAGUGUCGGUGCCGUCUGGCUCUGAGCGUAGUAAUACUUCUCGCUAUCAGGGAUUAGUCGUCCACCCGCUAGAACCCCCAACUUUCUUAAGGUUGACCUCGAAUCAGCGUAGGGAUACCCGCUGAACUUAAGCAUAUCAAUAAGCCGGGAGGAA